Molecule: unclassified non-coding RNA, 225 nt
Filed under: Hevea brasiliensis (rubber tree)
Lineage: Eukaryota; Viridiplantae; Streptophyta; Magnoliopsida; Malpighiales; Euphorbiaceae
Source: RNAcentral
AAUCUACCAACCAGAUAGAUAUUCAUAAUUGCAGAAGGUAGAUGCAUAAUUGGGUGGUAAUAAAUAAGUUGUUGUAUUCAUAUCUGCUUAUGAUUUCAAAAUUUCCAUGGAGUACCCUGGCCUGGCGUGGCUUGUAAGAGGAACAGUCUAGUUUUAUCUUGCUUUCUUAUUCUUCUAAAAAAAUAAAAUAAAAUAAAAUAAAAAAUCUACUGAGUAAAUAAGGGC